UUAAAACACUAAACUCUCUUCCACUUUCUCCUUUAGUUUUAUUUUAUUUGUCUCUCUGAAGAUGGCUGAUUUUGGGAGCAAUCUCAUCAAAAAUAUAAUAAGAACUCUUGUUAUGGCUCCGGUGUAUACUACAGCCGGAUAUGUUGCAUACAGAACUGGACGUUGGUUCUAUAAUCAUGAGAUGAGGAGACUUGCUAUAAUGAGCUCUAAAGAGACGCGACGAUGGGGAGGACAAAAGGUCAAUGAUCAACCACCUAAACGGCGCCCUUUCUGGCACUGGUGAUUGCUUGUUUUUAAUAAUACAAUGUAAAUUCAUCGUGGUCAAAAUUUAAAAUUUAAAUUAUAUGAAUUCAAGUUUAAAAUUCUAUCACAAUCCAUUUAAUUUUUUUGAGUUCAGAAUCUUUAAUAUCUAUAAUUAUUAGAGAAGUUUUCGAA
Solanum pennellii is the source of this 435-nucleotide long non-coding RNA. RefSeq lists it as uncharacterized. Lineage: Eukaryota; Viridiplantae; Streptophyta; Magnoliopsida; Solanales; Solanaceae. The transcript has 4 exons. The record is from RefSeq and is a predicted model, not a curated record.